GACGAACGCUGGCGGCGUGCCUAAUACAUGCAAGUAGAACGCUGAAGGAAGGAGCUUGCUCUUUCUGGAUGAGUUGCGAACGGGUGAGUAACGCGUAGGUAACCUGCCUGGUAGCGGGGGAUAACUAUUGGAAACGAUAGCUAAUACCGCAUAAAAUUGAUUAUUGCAUGAUAGUCAAUUAAAAGGUGCAACUGCACCACUACCAGAUGGACCUGCGUUGUAUUAGCUAGUUGGUGGGGUAACGGCUCACCAAGGCGACGAUACAUAGCCGACCUGAGAGGGUGAUCGGCCACACUGGGACUGAGACACGGCCCAGACUCCUACGGGAGGCAGCAGUAGGGAAUCUUCGGCAAUAGACGGAAGUCUGACCGAGCAACGCCGCGUGAGUGAAGAAGGUUUUCGGAUCGUAAAGCUCUGUUGUAAGAGAAGAACGAGUGUGAGAGUGGAAAGUUCACACUGUGACGGUAUCUUACCAGAAAGGGACGGCUAACUACGUG
This 497-nucleotide ribosomal RNA is filed under the name uncultured bacterium. RNAcentral describes it as "partial 16S ribosomal RNA". It matches the Rfam family "Bacterial small subunit ribosomal RNA", at positions 28 to 507 of the family's 1533-position model. The record is from RNAcentral.